AAUUAAUUAAAGCUUCAACGAUGAAGACGAUAGUGAUCCAGAGGCCAGCCCUCCCCUGCAGUCUCUGCUCCUCCCUGUAGCCAGGGCAGCCCUCCCGAAGCACAUAUUCCUUCCUGCCAUUGCCAAGACCAAGCAUUAGUGACUUCAGACUGUCCGAUUGUGUGAGGUUCUCCAGCAGCCCUUGACGGCCCAGGCCAGUCCAGAGAAGGCUGAUGAUGAAUGAAUCCGUCUUGGAAAUUUCUCACCCAGAAAACGAAACCAAGGCAGAAUGUGAUUUAGGUGAUUGACCCAAGGCAAAUUGAGGAAGCCGCUGAAGUAGGGUUGCCAGAGAAGAUACAUGACACCCGGGGCGCCUGGGUGGCACAGCGGUUAAGCGUCUGCCUUCGGCUCAGGGCGUGAUCCUGGUGUUACGGGAUCGAGCCCCACAUCAGGCUCC
This is a long non-coding RNA of Ailuropoda melanoleuca (giant panda), 436 nucleotides long. RefSeq lists it as uncharacterized. The transcript has 3 exons. The record is from RefSeq and is a predicted model, not a curated record. NCBI's taxonomy places the organism in Eukaryota, Metazoa, Chordata, Mammalia, Carnivora, Ursidae.